This 1116-nucleotide long non-coding RNA is filed under the name Equus caballus (horse). RNAcentral describes it as "lncRNA (ENSECAG00000057037.1)". Lineage: Eukaryota; Metazoa; Chordata; Mammalia; Perissodactyla; Equidae. The record is from RNAcentral.
GUGUCCAAGGUGCUCUGGGGCUCUAUAGGGCAAGAAUGGAUAUGCUGGGUCUUUAAGGGUAGGUGGGAGUUUGUUGGGCAGAGAAAGGGAUAUUGCCGCAAGAGCAAUGGCUGAUGUGUAUGGAGAUGGGGGCUGGGUGGGUAGGAGGAGAGCCCGGAGAUGAAGCUGGCUGGGUGCCAUGCUUGGGAGGAGGUUUCAUCCUAGAGGCUAUGGCUUUUGAAGGCACUUCUGGGAUUUGAAGCAACAUGGUCUUCCAGCUCAGUAGUAGCUUCCCCUCCUACUUAGACUGAGAUCCCACGUCUCCACCGUGGCUAGAAAGCUGGACAUGACGUGGCCUCCCAGCCCAGGCUCCUGACUUCUAGCCUCAUCCCCCAUCCUUCUCUCCCUCCCUGUCUGCAUCCAGCUCUUCCUGCCUUCCUGCUUGGCCCCAAACAGGCCAAGCUAAUGACCUAGACAUUGGACUUGCCACUCCCUCCACCUGGAACUCUCUUCCCCUUCAGCGUAGCUCUGCUUAAUAGGCUAAUUACAUUCAGAAGAGCUCUAGUAUGGCUCUUAAUAAACACUUGUUAAGUGAAUGAAUGAGCUCUACUUCAUUAUAUUCCAAUUCACUGAAAGGAAGUAUACAGACAGCUCUCAGCCAUCCAAUUGUGCUGAAUAAUUAACCAGGACACGCUGUCCCCCUCUGGGCUGCCCUGAUCACCCAGUUAACUCUGGGCUUUUCCCGGCUUGCCAGCACAGCCUCCAGAGUGGGUCUGGGCUGCAGUCGAAACGCAGCUGCUUAGCAAUUGAGCUAAUAACCCCGCUGCUGCAGACAUAGCUCAGUGGCAGAAGAGAAGCCGUGAAAUUGCCUGAAUUGAGAAGCUGCCGGGAAAGUAAAAGCGGUCUGUCAAAACCCAACCUAAAUUGGAAGACAAAAGGCAAUUCCUUCUAGCACCUUCAGCAUGUUUCUGAUGCUGGAUCAAGCCGGAUUGCAGUGUGUCUUCACUAACAGAGGGUGGAACAGUUAAGCCAUUUACGCCCAGAAUCCUGCUACUGGAGAUCUUCCCUAAAGAUGUUACUCUUCUGUUGUGGCAGAAGCUGCUUGCUGUCCCCAAAUAGUCGUUUUCUCCUUCUUCU